This is a long non-coding RNA of Rosa rugosa (rugosa rose), 265 nucleotides long. RefSeq lists it as uncharacterized. The transcript is spliced from 3 exons. The record is from RefSeq and is a predicted model, not a curated record. Lineage: Eukaryota; Viridiplantae; Streptophyta; Magnoliopsida; Rosales; Rosaceae.
UAACCAUGUAUGUACAGGUUACAAACUCCCUUAAAUUUCAAGCUUCAAGAACUGGAUCUGAUUGUUAAGACUAGAUGUGCAGUACCUUCAUCUUAAUGCAGCUAUUGAUUCCAGCAUAGGCCUUAACCCAGCCCCUCUUUUUACAGUUACCAACAACAAUUGGAAGUAAGGAUAUUAGUUUGUUUGGUGAAAUUGGAAUUGAAGUCCAUAUUAGGAAGAAUUGCUCGAAGCUGUGAGGAAUUAAGGAGCAUAUUGAACAAAGGUU